This 493-nucleotide long non-coding RNA is filed under the name Gallus gallus (chicken). Lineage: Eukaryota; Metazoa; Chordata; Aves; Galliformes; Phasianidae. The record is from RNAcentral.
CCCAUUAGAACCCAAGUGGAAAAGAAGGAAAACACAGUACUUACCAGUCAAAGUUAUUGUAGUCAUUUUUUGCUUCUCCCCACAAGUACAGGAAGACCAGAGAAAAGCAGAAAGCUCCAACAAGGAGUGGGAAAAACACACAUUCCCGCGUCUUGCAGCAGCAUUUCCCAGGCUCGGUCCUUCUGCGCUGAUACCGCUUCCAUCGGCAGCUGUAGAAACCAGCCAGGCAGGAGAUGAAGGGCUGGUGCUCAUAUCUCUGCAGCAAGCGCCGACGUACCACCUUCAGCUUCCCAAACUUGAUCUUCUUGAGGCUGGUGGAACUGGCCUCCAUCUGAAUAGCCUUAUCUCAUCUUCUUCCUCAGCAGGGUGCACGUGGAGGGGUAUUUCUGCUCUCUGCCACACUUUGGGUGAUGGUGCCCUUCGCUCGUCGCACUCCGGGUCCCGAAUGGUGGCACGGCUCCGUGACACCCAGCAUUAGAGAGGCUGCGGAGCC